Long non-coding RNA from Mya arenaria, 354 nucleotides. RefSeq lists it as uncharacterized. The record is from RefSeq and is a predicted model, not a curated record. NCBI's taxonomy places the organism in Eukaryota, Metazoa, Mollusca, Bivalvia, Myida, Myidae. The transcript has 3 exons.
AUUAAAUAUGGACGGAGAAAAUGCAGAGGAGACGCGCGUUUAUCACAAUGAUGUGAGCACAGCUGGGGUCGAUCAAGCCUAGGAGCAGUUUCAUAAGAAUCAACAAAACAUUUCCUUGUCUCACUGCUUUAUGACCUUUACAUCCUUGACAUCAGAUGUCAUUACAUCUUAGAUUGGGCCAAAAAUGUCAACUAUCCCCAAUUCCCAAUUGUGAAAUGUGGGUUGAAACAAGACAGCCCCUCCCCCAAAAGUCAUUUAUUUGCCAUGCAGACACACAAUGAUGUGAAACCUGUCAAUGAAAGCUGGUAGUGAUGUUUACACACGAUACCAAUACUUCCAAGACAUUGGUUUGAG